Molecule: ribosomal RNA, 710 nt
Filed under: Phaeobacter sp.
Lineage: Bacteria; Pseudomonadati; Pseudomonadota; Alphaproteobacteria; Rhodobacterales; Roseobacteraceae
Description: bacterial SSU rRNA
Rfam family: Bacterial small subunit ribosomal RNA
Source: RNAcentral
GGAAGGCGGCAGCUUACACAUGCAAGUCGAGCGCACUCUUCGGAGUGAGCGGCGGACGGGUUAGUAACGCGUGGGAACGUGCCCUUCUCUAAGGAAUAGCCACUGGAAACGGUGAGUAAUACCUUAUACGCCCUUCGGGGGAAAGAUUUAUCGGAGAAGGAUCGGCCCGCGUUAGAUUAGAUAGUUGGUGGGGUAAUGGCCUACCAAGUCUACGAUCUAUAGCUGGUUUUAGAGGAUGAUCAGCAACACUGGGACUGAGACACGGCCCAGACUCCUACGGGAGGCAGCAGUGGGGAAUCUUGGACAAUGGGCGCAAGCCUGAUCCAGCCAUGCCGCGUGAGUGAUGAAGGCCUUAGGGUCGUAAAGCUCUUUCGCCAGAGAUGAUAAUGACAGUAUCUGGUAAAGAAACCCCGGCUAACUCCGUGCCAGCAGCCGCGGUAAUACGGAGGGGGUUAGCGUUGUUCGGAAUUACUGGGCGUAAAGCGCACGUAGGCGGAUCAGAAAGUAUAGGGUGAAAUCCCAGGGCUCAACCCUGGAACUGCCUUGUAAACUCCUGGUCUUGAGUUCGAGAGAGGUGAGUGGAAUUCCGAGUGUAGAGGUGAAAUUCGUAGAUAUUCGGAGGAACACCAGUGGCGAAGGCGGCUCACUGGCUCGAUACUGACGCUGAGGUGCGAAAGUGUGGGGAGCAAACAGGAUUAGAUACCCUGGUA